UCAUUACCCCGUCCGGUAUGAGGGUGAAACGGGCCGUCCCCAUACCCCGUCCGGUAUGGGCGCCAAAACACAUAAGAUCUCCAUACCCCGUCCGGUAUGAGAGACCACAAUCCCGGUAGGGUUCCCUACGGACCCGGUCCGUCCACCAUCUCCCAGGAUAUCUAGUCAGGCUGACCACAUUAUACCAUUACCCAUUUACAUAAUUUUUCAUUCUCUUUUUCCUCAGUCAGUAUCAUUAAUCCACAUACAAGCAAGC
This 256-nucleotide long non-coding RNA is filed under the name Carica papaya (papaya). RNAcentral's name for it is "long non-coding RNA (CPAP_LNC015024)". Lineage: Eukaryota; Viridiplantae; Streptophyta; Magnoliopsida; Brassicales; Caricaceae. The record is from RNAcentral.